CCUUCGAUAGCUCAGUUGGAAGAGCGUGAGACUGUAACGGAUGCCUAUCUCAAUGUCGCUGGUUCGAUCCCGGCUCGAAGGA
Irpex rosettiformis is the source of this 82-nucleotide non-coding RNA. Lineage: Eukaryota; Fungi; Basidiomycota; Agaricomycetes; Polyporales; Irpicaceae. The record is from the annotation of a GenBank genome assembly.